AGAAAGUGGUGUAGUGGAAGCACUAAGA
RNAcentral lists this transfer RNA (28 nucleotides) under Pamphorichthys scalpridens. RNAcentral describes it as "partial tRNA-Gln". Lineage: Eukaryota; Metazoa; Chordata; Actinopteri; Cyprinodontiformes; Poeciliidae. RNAcentral also lists the same sequence under 1 other name. The record is from RNAcentral.